RNAcentral lists this ribosomal RNA (1368 nucleotides) under metagenome. RNAcentral describes it as "bacterial LSU rRNA". It matches the Rfam family "Bacterial large subunit ribosomal RNA", at positions 957 to 2382 of the family's 2925-position model. The record is from RNAcentral.
CGAAUGCCGCGCAAUACAACAUGGGAGUCAGUGUACGAGGGAUAAGCUUCGUGCGCGAGAGGCAAACAUGCCAGACCAGCAGCUAAGGUGCCCAAAUACCGUUCAGUGGAAAGGAUGUGGAGAUACUUAGACAAUGAGGAUGUUGGCUUAGAGGCAGCCAUCAUUUAAACAGUGCGUAAUAGCUGACUCAUCGAGUGUUUCUGCGCCGAAAAUGAUUGGCGAUAAGCGGUAUACCGAAGCUCUGGAUUUCACGCGAAUUCGUUUGCGUGGAGUGGUAGGGGAGCGUCGUCAGGACGUAGAAGCGGGAGCGUAAGCAACCGUCGAGACCUGACGAGUGAGAAUGCAGACAUGAGUAGCGAUAAGCCAGGUUAGACUCCUGGCCGCCGUAAACCCAAGGUUUCCUGUGCAAGGUUCGUCCUCACAGGGUUAGUCGGGACCUAAGUCGAGGCCGAUGGGCGUAGACGAUGGACAGCAGGUUUAAUAUUCCUGCACCGCCGAAAUUUAAACCGGGAAGACGCUUCUGUAGAGACAAGCAAGGCACUGAUUGUCCUUGUCCCGCAAGGGGACGUUGAGGCCACGGCCAAGACGGAUUUGUUGACACAGGAGCCAAGAAAAUCCCCGGUGCAUACUAAGGCGCCCGUACCGUAAACCGACACAGUUGGGUGGGUAGAGUAUACCCAGGCGCGUGAGUGAAACCUCGUUAAGGAACUCGGCAAUCUAGCCCCGUAACUUCGGAAGAAGGGGUGCCAGUCGCAAGACUGGCCGCAGUGAAAGGGGUCAACCGACUGUUUAACAAAAACACAGCACUCUGCUAACUCGUAAGAGAACGUAUAGGGUGUGACACGUGACCAAUGCGGAAAGAUUACGGUAAGAGGUUAGCGCAAGCGAAGCUUCGAGCCCAAGUCCCCGUGAAUGUCGGCCGUAACCAUAACGGUCCUAAGGUAGCGAAAUUCCUUGUCGGGUAAGUUCCGACCUGCACGAAUCGUGUAACGAGUUGACCGCUGUCUCAACGAGGAGCUCAGCUAAGUUGUAGUGGCGGUGAAGAUGCCGCCUACCCGCAGCAGGACGGAAAGACCCUAUGCACCUUUACUGUACGCUGUUACUGUGUUUUCGAUUUUAAUGCUUAGCGUAAGUGGUAGACUUUGAUUUCGCUCUUUCGGGGGCGAAUGAGUCGUCAAUGAAACACCACCCUUUGAAAUUGGAAACUCUAACCUCUCGCCAUCAUCUGGCAGAGGGACACUGGCAGCCGGUCAGUUUUACUGGGGCGGUAUCCUCCCAAAGAGUAACGGAGGAGUACGAAGGUUGGCUCAACCUGGUUGGUAAUCAGGUGACGAGUAUAUGGAUAUAAGCCAGCCUAACUGUGAGACU